This 31-nucleotide non-coding RNA is filed under the name Mus musculus (house mouse). Lineage: Eukaryota; Metazoa; Chordata; Mammalia; Rodentia; Muridae. The record is from RNAcentral.
UGAUGCUUGUGAUGCUCGCUUGUUUUCAGAC